UAUAAUCCGCGACUCUCUGGCGCAAUAACCUGCUUAAAAGGGAAUCCGGUGUGAAUCCGGAGCUGGCGCGCAGCGGUAAUGGGGAACGAAAGCGAAUGAGUGAAAACUCAGGCACUGCCAUCCGGCGGGAAGCCGUCGCCGUAGGAAUGAAUCAGCCCCUGAGCCCGAAGACCUGCCAGAGCAAAAUCUGAGUC
RNAcentral lists this non-coding RNA (194 nucleotides) under Tolumonas auensis. RNAcentral also lists the same sequence under 1 other name. Lineage: Bacteria; Pseudomonadati; Pseudomonadota; Gammaproteobacteria; Aeromonadales; Aeromonadaceae. The record is from RNAcentral.